GCAGAGUUGAUUCGUCCUCUGUCGCGGCAACUGCUGUCAUAGCUCCGUACACUGUCAAUACUUUUGACAGAUGGCGGAGC
This 80-nucleotide non-coding RNA is filed under the name unclassified sequences. Its description in RNAcentral is "RAGATH-28 RNA". It matches the Rfam family "RAGATH-28 RNA". Rfam says of the family: Clostridiales (Firmicutes). The record is from Rfam by way of RNAcentral.